GUAUUUUGUUCUAUGCCAACAUCCUCCGAAAACUUGGGAUGGUCAUGAAAAUGACGGAGCUGCAAGCGGGCCGACCCGACUUAUGAUCUCCCUGCCGGGGCAGGGAGCAGCGCUGCGCCCUCACUCCCACGGUGCACAGUGUGAAGAUGUGAAAGCGCGCUUCCAGUUGGAAGACGCGACGUUUCGGUAAUGAUCCCUCCGCAGGUUCACCUACGGAGA
Molecule: unclassified non-coding RNA, 219 nt
Filed under: uncultured fungus
Lineage: Eukaryota; Fungi
Description: sequence contains ITS1
Source: RNAcentral